UGUCAUUUUAGUCCUGCCUGUCACUCACUGGUGAUAUUGGUCCUUUAAUGUCAUAUGUACACACUUAGUAUUUUAUUGCCUCAGAAACCUUUUUAUAUCAAAAUUACCACCCUGAUUUUGGCGUAAUUUUGCAUUUUAUCUGCCAGAAACAGAAGUUAUGUAGCCCUCCCAAGCAAAAAAAAAAAAAAAAAAAAAAAAAAAACAACAAAAAACAAGGCUAACCAUAACAGCUAAUACACCAAGGAUAAGUAAGGCAACAUUUUCUGGGUAAGAACCAAGAUACUGAGAUCUUCAUGCUUUUGAAAAAUUCUUUCAGUCAACAAAAUACCUGUGACCUCCUUAUUACACUGGGCACAUCCUUCUGCUCAAGGAGCAGCUAAGUUUCAGUAGGAAUAUGAGUAGAUUAAGCAGCUAAACUGUAAGGGAGCUGGUGUGUUACUUACAGGCACUUGGAUCAACUGAGUGGGUGCAAAUUGAUGCAACUCAGCACUUAAUUAUGUGACUUUAAAAAAAAUUGAGGUUUUGUGGGUUUUUUUUCAGGAAUUUCUAGUAUCUCAGCAAAUAAGGAAAAAAGUCAGAAACCCAACUCACUUCAGUGCACUGGUUCCUGUCCAUUCUAGCUGAGCACUGGGGGGAGGGAGACACACAAGGAACCAAAAAGACCAUUCAAAAAUAACACUAAACUUGAAACAACCUCCCCCCAACCCAAAACACACACAAAAAAGCACCAGCAACUGAGCAGGUGUGAGGGCUACAGAAUCGGGGAAGAACAUUUGAACAUUUCUAAAAUUCAUCAGAUUAAUAAUCUAGAAUUCAUCAUAUUUAAAUAUUUGAAUAUUUAAACUAUUAAAAAUUUUCAUUAGCAGGACAUAAGACACAUGCUAAGCUACAUGUGAAUUGUUUUAAGUUUUGGGUAACUUACAGUACCAAAUAAAAAUGGCUUUGCUUAAAACAUGCCCCAAGAAAGAGCAGUUUAUUUAUAAAGCAAUAUUUCUGACUACAACUCAGCAAUAUCUUUCCAGCCUUUCUCAGCAAUAACCUUUCCAGCAAUGUGGGUUUUUUUUUUCCCUUCUUGAUUUCCAUCGACCAGAACCCAGCUCACAGAGCACCUCACCAAACCACAGCUGUCAUUAAAAGCAAGGCUUGCUCUUCCCUAGCCUGUCACAGAGUGCCUGAUCAUUGCCACCAGCUGUUGACAGACUCCUGCUAACUCAGCCCAUGGAAAAGCAGUCUGCUCUUCUAAACCCGGGUAAAAUCCAGCCUUUUGCUUAAAGGGUUUUUUUCUGGGACAGGAGGUCAUGUGGGUUUAACAAUCCCAUUUGCCUGGAGCAGACAAACCCCAUCACCUUGUAAUUCUUGACUUUACCAUGGGCAAUAGAGGCGUUACCCAAGCUGUACAGAUGAGCUGGAGUUUGUGUCUAGCUGGAGGUUUAAACUCUCACAGUCUUCCAAAAUUUCCUGAGUAGUUCAUCAGCAGCUUCACAAAAUGCUCCCAGUGAAGUCAUUUUGCUGCAUUUGCUGUUUCCCAGAGAUGGGAACCAAGCUGACACCAGGCUCUGCCCCAAACUGCCCUUGCCUCUGCUGGGGUGGGCUCAAACCCAGGGCUUGGGGUGCCCCUCCCUGCAGGGGGAUUGGAAUCAGUCUGGGUCAAGCAGUGCAGAGAGAGACUGGUGUCCUGUCCCCACAGGAGAAGGAAAAACUCUUGGGCUGCUCUUGCAGCCACUCAGCAUUUUAGACAAAGAUAAAUGAACAGCAUUUCCAAGCAUGCUCUGUUUAAAAAUAAAAAAAA
Long non-coding RNA from Taeniopygia guttata (zebra finch), 1789 nucleotides. The record is from Ensembl. Lineage: Eukaryota; Metazoa; Chordata; Aves; Passeriformes; Estrildidae.